Molecule: long non-coding RNA, 441 nt
Organism: Dreissena polymorpha
Lineage: Eukaryota; Metazoa; Mollusca; Bivalvia; Myida; Dreissenidae
Exons: 2
Source: RefSeq, a predicted model, not a curated record
CCAUGGCUGGGUUCACUAAUUAGUUAUGUCUAUGGUAAGCACAUGCGCACUGUUAAUUUGUGUAUAUUUUCAUGUUAAAUGACAGGUGAACUUUCAUAUAUGCAGUUAAACAAACGUGGUCUCGCUUUAUUAUUGGCAUAUAUAUGCACAAGAUGUGUGAGUCACACAUAAAGCCAUCCCGUAUCAGGUAAUUCAACUCAUGUUAAAGUCAAUCAUCCAGACAGCCGUCACCCAAUUUAUUUGUCCAUUAUUGUAUAAAUUGGCAUCUGCGUUGUAUGAAGGAGAAGUCUUACUAAAACGGCCGAACAUACAAGUCGCAUUAUUGCUGGCUUUCGCGGGAUGGGCCCAUUGCGGGCUUCGCAUGUAUCUUGUAUUUGACAAACAUUUUGGAAACGUUGUGUUGUGUUAAUAAGCAGAAAUAAAACGCAAAGAAAUCAGAAA